Long non-coding RNA from Dreissena polymorpha, 540 nucleotides. RefSeq lists it as uncharacterized. Lineage: Eukaryota; Metazoa; Mollusca; Bivalvia; Myida; Dreissenidae. The transcript is spliced from 3 exons. The record is from RefSeq and is a predicted model, not a curated record.
GCCUCCUGUUUUCAUAGUGCUCGUUAGCGAGACCAAAGAAGCGGCAAACUAUCAGUAACAAGUGGUGGAUAAUUCUUGAUUUAAAACUUUAUUUGAAAAAGGUUAAACAUGAUAUACAUGGUGACGUACUUGACGUGCCUUCUCCUGUUGACGUCAUUUCCGGCGUCGACAAUCGCAUCAUCGUCAUCAACGGAUCGUCCCGCGUUUUGUGACGAGUUUCCGACGUACAUCCGUGAUCCCACGCAGACGCCAAUGCUGCUAGCCGCCCUGAUCUUCUUUAACCCGCGAACCGGAAAGUGCCAGUUCCAGACGCUAGCUACAGGCAUAGUGGCGCCAGGCGAGAACAGCUUCCGGAAUUUUCGAGAAUGCAUGAUUACUUGCAAGCAGCCGCUGCCGCCGUUCGCGCAGGAAAAAUAACUUUAAAAAAUGUCAUCAAAUGACAGCUGAAUCUGCUGAAAAUAAACUACGAGCAAAACAGACGUCACCAAUUGAAACUGAAAUUACUCAAUUUAUUACUGAAAUAAACUACGCACAAAAUAA